RNAcentral lists this ribosomal RNA (207 nucleotides) under uncultured bacterium. Its description in RNAcentral is "partial 16S ribosomal RNA". It matches the Rfam family "Bacterial small subunit ribosomal RNA", at positions 568 to 774 of the family's 1533-position model. The record is from RNAcentral.
CUCGUAGGCGGCCAACUAAGUCAGACGUGAAAUCCCUCGGCUUAACCGGGGAACUGCGUCUGAUACUGGAUGGCUUGAGUUCGGGAGAGGGAUGCGGAAUUCCAGGUGUAGCGGUGAAAUGCGUAGAUAUCUGGAGGAACACCGGUGGCGAAGGCGGCAUCCUGGACCGAUACUGACGCUGAGGGGCGAAAGCCAGGGGAGCAAACG